GAUGAACGCUGGCGGCGUGCCUAAUACAUGCAAGUCGAGUGAACGGACGAGAGGCUUGCUUCUCUGAUGCUAGCGGCGGACGGGUGAGUAACACGUGGAUAACCUACCUAUAAGACUGGGAUAACUUCGGGAAACCGGAGCUAAUACCGGAUGAUAUUUUGAACCGCAUGGUUCAAAAGUGAAAGACGGUCUUGCUGUCACUUAUAGAUGGAUCCGCGCUGCAUUAGCUAGUUGGUAAGGUAACGGCUUACCAAGGCAACGAUGCAUAGCCGACCUGAGAGGGUGAUCGGCCACACUGGAACUGAGACACGGUCCAGACUCCUACGGGAGGCAGCAGUAGGGAAUCUUCCGCAAUGGGCGAAAGCCUGACGGAGCAACGCCGCGUGAGUGAUGAAGGUCUUCGGAUCGUAAAACUCUGUUAUUAGGGAAGAACAUAUGUGUAAGUAACUGUGCACAUCUUGACGGUACCUAAUCAGAAAGCCACGGCUAACUACGUG
RNAcentral lists this ribosomal RNA (497 nucleotides) under uncultured bacterium. Its description in RNAcentral is "partial 16S ribosomal RNA". It matches the Rfam family "Bacterial small subunit ribosomal RNA", at positions 28 to 507 of the family's 1533-position model. The record is from RNAcentral.